CAACUACUCCCUCCAUCCGAAAAAGCUUGUCCCAAGCUUGUCCCUCGAAUGGAUGCAUCUAGCACUAACUUGUUGCUAGAUACAUCCAUUUGAGGGACAAGCUUUUUCAGACGGAGGGAGUAUAAG
Molecule: non-coding RNA, 126 nt
Organism: Triticum aestivum (bread wheat)
Lineage: Eukaryota; Viridiplantae; Streptophyta; Magnoliopsida; Poales; Poaceae
Source: Rfam